AGAGCAGACCAGACAGUCGCGGAUGGAUGACGAAAGAAACCAUCUGAGGAAAGUCCGGGCUCCGCAGGGCAAGAAUAACGGCUAACGGCCGCCGGGGGUGACCCUAGGGAAAGUGCAACAGAGAUAUACCGCCGCUUUUGCGGUAAGGAUGGAAAGGCGAGGUAAGAGCUCACCAGCGUGGUGGAGACAUCACGGCUAUGUAAACCCUAUUCGGAGCAACACCGUGGAGAAACAAUGCCUGCCCGGCAGUUUCGAGGAGGUGGCGUGAGCCAAAGGGCAACCUUUGGCCAAGAUAGAUGACUGUUUAAUACAGAACCCGGCUUACAGAUCUGCUCUUUUA
Molecule: RNase P RNA, 340 nt
Filed under: Clostridia bacterium
Lineage: Bacteria; Bacillati; Bacillota; Clostridia
Description: RNase P RNA component class A
Rfam family: Bacterial RNase P class A
About the family: Ribonuclease P (RNase P) is a ubiquitous endoribonuclease, found in archaea, bacteria and eukarya as well as chloroplasts and mitochondria. Its best characterised activity is the generation of mature 5'-ends of tRNAs by cleaving the 5'-leader elements of precursor-tRNAs. Cellular RNase Ps are ribonucleoproteins.
Source: RNAcentral